RNAcentral lists this ribosomal RNA (253 nucleotides) under uncultured bacterium. RNAcentral's name for it is "partial 16S ribosomal RNA". It matches the Rfam family "Bacterial small subunit ribosomal RNA", at positions 524 to 776 of the family's 1533-position model. The record is from RNAcentral.
UACGUAGGGUCCGAGCGUUGUCCGGAAUUACUGGGCGUAAAGGGCGCGUAGGCGGCCUGCUAAGUCGAACGUGAAAUCCCCGGGCUCAACCCGGGAACUGCGUCCGAUACUGGUUGGCUUGAAUCCGGGAGAGGGAUGCGGAAUUCCAGGUAUAGCGGUGAAAUGCGUAGAUAUCUGGAGGAACACCGGUGGCGAAGGCGGCAUCCUGGACCGGCAUUGACGCUGAGGCGCGAAAGCCAGGGGAGCAAACAGG